Molecule: ribosomal RNA, 305 nt
Filed under: uncultured bacterium
Lineage: Bacteria
Description: partial 16S ribosomal RNA
Rfam family: Bacterial small subunit ribosomal RNA
Source: RNAcentral
GGCCCUACGGAGGCAGCAGUGGGGGAUAUUGCACAAUGGGGGGAACCCUGAUGCAGCGACGCCGCGUGGGUGAAGGAGCGUUUCGGCGCGUAAAGCCCUAUCGGCAGGGAAGAAGAUGACGGUAUCUGACCAAGAAGCCCCGGCUAACUACGUGCCAGCAGCCGCGGUAAUACGUAGGGGGCAAGCGUUAUCCGGAUUUACUGGGUGUAAAGGGGGCGCAGACGGCAAUGCAAGCCAGGAGUGAAAGCCCGGGGCCCAACCCCGGGACUGCUCUUGGAACUGCAUGGCUGGAGGACAGGGGGGGG